UACGUAGGGGGCUAGCGUUAUCCGGAAUUACUGGGCGUAAAGGGUGCGUAGGUGGUUCCUUAAGUCAGAGGUGAAAGGCUACGGCUCAACCGUAGUAAGCCUUUGAAACUGGGAAACUUGAGUGCAGGAGAGGAGAGUGGAAUUCCUAGUGUAGCGGUGAAAUGCGUAGAUAUAAGGAGGAACACCAGUUGCGAAGGCGGCUCUCUGGACUGUAACUGACACUGAGGCACGAAAGCGUGGGGAGCAAACAGG
RNAcentral lists this ribosomal RNA (252 nucleotides) under uncultured bacterium. RNAcentral describes it as "partial 16S ribosomal RNA". It matches the Rfam family "Bacterial small subunit ribosomal RNA", at positions 524 to 776 of the family's 1533-position model. The record is from RNAcentral.